RNAcentral lists this ribosomal RNA (343 nucleotides) under uncultured soil bacterium. RNAcentral's name for it is "bacterial SSU rRNA". It matches the Rfam family "Bacterial small subunit ribosomal RNA", at positions 26 to 356 of the family's 1533-position model. The record is from RNAcentral.
AGAUUGAACGCUGGCGGCAUGCUUUACACAUGCAAGUCGAGCGGCAGCGCGGGGGGGUAACUCCUGGCGGCGAGCGGCGGACGGGUGAGUAAUACAUCGGAACGUAUCCCGUAGUGGGGGACAACCCAGCGAAAGCUGGGCUAAUACCGCAUAUGCUCUACGGAGGAAAGUGGGGGGCUCCGCAAGGACCUCAUGCUAAUGGGAGCGGCCGAUGUCCGAUUUAGCUAGUUGGGUGGGGUAAAGGCUUACCAAGGCGACGAUCGGUAGCUGGUCUGAGAGGAUGACUCAGCCUACACUGGGAACUGAGACACGGCCCAGUACCGUCCGUACGGGAGGACCAGGC